GGGGGCGGGGGGGGUGGGGGGGGCCGGGGGGAGGUGUCCGUGGGUUUUAGGGCUGGGGGGCGCCUCCUGGGUGGUUUUAGGGCCCCCCCUUGGAAAAUUGGGAGCCCCCCCAUAAGACUGGGACACCCCCUCAUAAGAUCGGGACCCUCUCCUGGCCCUGCACCUCGCCGUCAUCCAUGAGCACGAGGCCUUCCUGGACUCCAUCCUGCAGCACACCGAGGGCACGGCCUACCUGGACCUGCAGAACGACCUGGGGCAGACCGCUCUGCACCUCGCCGUCAUCCUGGGGCUGCCG
Non-coding RNA from Anas platyrhynchos (mallard), 295 nucleotides. Lineage: Eukaryota; Metazoa; Chordata; Aves; Anseriformes; Anatidae. The record is from RefSeq and is a predicted model, not a curated record.